This 352-nucleotide unclassified non-coding RNA is filed under the name soil metagenome. RNAcentral's name for it is "partial contains 5.8S ribosomal RNA, internal transcribed spacer 2, and large subunit ribosomal RNA". The stretch from base 1 to 120 matches the Rfam family "5.8S ribosomal RNA", at positions 35 to 154 of the family's 154-position model. The record is from RNAcentral.
GAUGAAGAACACAGCGAAAUGCGAUAAGUAAUGUGAAUUGCAGAAUCCAGUGAAUCAUCGAAUCUUUGAACGCACAUUGCGCCCGCCAGUAUUCUGGCGGGCAUGCCUGUCUGAGCGUCAUUUCAACCCUCGCAACCAGCUUGCUGGAUGCGGUGUUGGGGAUCGGCCACCCGUACUGGGCGGCCGUCCCUUAAAUAGAGUGGCGGUUGCGCUGUGACCUCCUCUGCGUAGUAGCAAUAUCUCGCAGGCGGAUAGCGGUGUAACCACGCCGUAAAACCCCCAACUCUUCUUUGGUUGACCUCAGAUCAGGUAGGAAUACCCGCUGAACUUAAGCAUAUCAAUAAGCGGAGGA